Long non-coding RNA from Cimex lectularius (bed bug), 8302 nucleotides. RefSeq lists it as uncharacterized. The record is from RefSeq and is a predicted model, not a curated record. The transcript is spliced from 2 exons. NCBI's taxonomy places the organism in Eukaryota, Metazoa, Arthropoda, Insecta, Hemiptera, Cimicidae.
AUAAUUAUCGAUUAACAGUCACUAAUCACCACACUUAAGACCAAUGUUGACAAUGGGUCGGUGGUGUGGUGGACCAAGACUCUGCAGGCCAAAGCAAUCAGGCACCUAAUAAUUGGCACCUAAAGACAAGCCUGACCCAGUGGCACUGGAGCCAUGAGCGCAACGCCAAUUGUGGCCCUGGAAGUGUUGUUAAACCUCCCACACUUCAUUUUAAUCCAAGGAGAAGCCAGAGCAGCAGCCCACAGGUUCAUAAAUGGACAAUCAUCUGUAAGGAUAGGCCGUGUAAAUAAACAAUGAAAAGUGAGGGAGGAGAUACAGGCAAUUGCCAUUUUAGGCAUGCCAAUCGAUGCCACUACUCCAAAAUACUAAAAUUUACAUGGUUCUAAUACCAGAAUAGGAAGAAUGGACCAAAUGAACACUGCUAAAGGCAACCUCCUACUGGUACACUGACAGCUCCAAACCGACAAGGCUCGGUAACUGGAGUCUUCGGGAUGAACCCAAAGACCGAACUGACAGUAAACCUAGGUAAAUAUGCAGUCUGAAAUUAUAGCGAUUGAACACUGCGCCAGAGAAAUAAAAAGGCUAGGAAUACAUUCCUAGGAAGAUAACCAUUUUCUCUGACAUCAGGCAGCACUAAGGGCCCUAGCCUCAUGCGGAGCAAAGUGUUUGGAACUGCACGGAGGCCCUGACGGAAGUCAGUGACACUAAUGACCUGACCCUGGUAUGUGUUCCAGAGCACUCAGGGCAUAGAGAGUAGAGACAAUGAAAAGGUUGACAUGCUGGUCAACUGGGGAGCCAACAUGGGCUCCAGGUCCUAAACCCUACUGUGGUUUAGCAUCCUGUCGCAAAAGAGGAUAAUGGAUCCUUAAUGAGUCCAAAACCUGGUGGAACAAUACUACAGGUAUGAGGCACGCGAAGAGCUUCUUAGAAGGGCUUACAAAAGGAUUACUGGAAGGCAACCACAACCAAACCAGGAUUCUGGUUGGACUCCUGACAGGGCAUUGCUUCUUAAGCAGAAAGAAGAUAGGAGUACAGACAGAAGAAGUAUUGUGCAUAUACUGCUAGGACGAGAGGAGGAGUCCACAGAACACUAUGUUUCUGUGAAGGUAGGUGCAGGUUCUUGCAACUAGGACAAGCAAAACAACAAGCAAGAUCCUUCACUAAGGAGCAGCUGGCAAAGCUGUGGAGGCUGAUUAACAACCUGAAGCUGGCCAAUGAGUUAUAAAAACAGGGGAGCACAAUAGAUCUAUUCAGGUCGAGGUGAAAAAGGCCCUGUGGCCGCGUCUUUUAUCCUUCUAUGAAAAACAGGUAAGAUGAGAAUAAUUUAAAAAUAUCAAUUGUGCAUUCACUUCAUGUUAUAACCACAAAUCUUUACAUGUCUUGAUAUGUUUAAUGUCUCCAAAAGCCAAUUUACCUGUAUUUUUUCAUCAAUAUGACUGAUAUUUUUAUGUCUAAACAAAAUUCAUACAUUUACAUGCUUCAACUUUGUAAGAAUUAAGGAAAUUUGUUUUUGUUAACAUAAUUCAGACAAGCAUUUUCAAACUAGCUUUAGGCUUAUAGGACAUUUUGUAAUGCAGAUAAACGAACCUCCAAUUAUUGUACAAUAAUGAAGAAUGAUUAGGCUGAUUUACAAAAGUCACACAUUUUAGCACAAUGGAUUAUUAUAAUAAAUUCUAAUGAUAGUAUGGAAUAGAAAAUAUAAGCUGUUUAAUUUUGUACAACAAAAUAUAAUUGGCUACAAAAACUUUCAAUACCGUGAAAUUUUGUGUUUUAAUUAUAAUUAUAUAUAUAAAUUUAGAUAACUUUCCUUUAAUAGAUAAUUUCCUGCUCUUAAUUGUGUUAUAUAAUUAAAAAUACCAAAAUGAAAGUUAAUAAUAUUUCAGGUGGUCAGUCAGAAAAAUAUUGAAUCACCUCGCCAUGCCAAUGCUGGAUUUUCGAUAGUGUCAGAAAAAAAAUUUAAAAAUACAAACAUAAUAAAUGAUAUUUAAAUGGAAGUCAAACGACCUAACUACAGAUUUUUUUCUUUUUUUUUCAAGUAAUAAAACGGUGAUCAACCUCCUCAGGUUUUAUUACACCUUACAACUCAUAACCUUACAUACUUUAUGACAGGGUGGUUAAGCAGCUCUGCGUACAGACAAAACGGUGAGCACCAACAACACAAUGCAAUUUGAGAACUUUUACAUGACAUGACAAGCAUUACAUCAAUAAUUAACCAAAUUUGCAUUUUAAAUUAUUAAUUUAACAAGAAAGCUGAUUAUGAAAUAAAAAUUAUAAUAAAGGAUAGUUUCAUAACAUUAAAGGUCUUCAAAGAUUUCUGAUUAACAAGAUAAUGAAUUUUUUUAAUACGUUUUUGCAUAUGUACAGAACAGCUCAUGUUAACUGCUUAAUGAGAAAGAAAGAAAAACACCUCCUUUAAGAAUGCCACCAACAGGUUCACAGAAAGAUCUAGAACGGAAGAUGGUAAGGAGGCAGGAGUAUUUGGUCCUGGAAUCAAAUACUCAGAACCCACAGGAAAAUACACCAGAAUCAUCUGAGCUGAGGUUCACACAAUUGAUAGAUGUACCCAAUUCAAUCUAAGUAAAGGAUACAAAAAUGAGAAUAUAGCUAUCCUAUCAGAUAGCCAAGCAGCCAUCAAAGCGCUAAGUUCAGAUAUCAUUACCUCUAAGGUGAUAAAUGGGCAAAUACCCCAGUAUCUUCCAGGCUGAAGUCCAUGCAAUCGAGAGAUAGAUACCUAGUUCAAUUUGAACAAAGGGUUCAAAAAUAAGAAUACUUUAUAAAGAGGAAUGAUGUCUAAUAGCCAAGCAGCCAUCUAAGCAUUAAGUUCAGACAUCAUUAGCUCAAAGAUUGGGCAAGUACCUAAAUAUCUUCCAGGCUGAAGUUCAUACAAUCGAGAGAGAGAGAUAUAUAUCUAGUUCAAUUUGAACAAAGGGUUCAAAAAUAAGAAUACUUUAUAAAGAGGAAUGAUGUCUAAUAGCCAAGCAGCCAUCUAAGCAUUAAGUUCAGACAUCAUUAGCUCAAAGAUCGGGCAAGUACCUAAGUAUCUUCCAGGCUGAAGUUCAUACAAUCGAGAGAGAGAUAUAUACCCAGUUCAAUUUGAACAAAGGGUUCAAAAAUAAUCAAAAAUAAGAAUACUUCAUGAAGAGGAAUCAUGUCUAAUAGCCAAGUAGUCAUCAAAAUGCUAAGUUCAGACAUCAUUAGCUCAAAGAUGGGAAAUACAUAAAUAUCUUCCAGUCUGAAGUCCAUACAAUCGAAAGAUAUAUAUACACAGUUCAAUUUGAACAAAGGGUUCAAAAAUAAGAAUACUUCAUGAAGAAGACUCAAGUCUAAUAGCCAAGUAGUCAUCAAAACGCUAUGUUCAGACAUCAUUAGCUCUAAGAUGAUAAAAUGGGCAAAUACCCCAGUAUCUUUCAGGCUGAAUUCCAUGCAAUUGAGAGAUAUAGCCAGUUCAAUUUGAACAAAGGGUUAAAAAAUAAGAAUACUUCAUGAUGAGGAAUCAUGUCUAAUAGCCAAGUAGUCAUCAAAACGCUAUGUUCAGACAUCAUUAGCUCUAAGAUGAUAAAUUGGCAAAUACCCCAGCAGUAUCUUCCAGGAUGAGGUCCAUACAUUCGAGAGAUAUACCCAGUCCAAUAUGAACAAAAGGUUCAAAAAUAAGAAUAUUUCAUGAAGAAAUUUCCUUUUCCCAAAUUCUUAUACUUUUGAAGUUCAUGCAAUCGAGAUAUACCCAGUUCAAAGGUGCUGAAUUGCAAAACUAAACUAAACAAAUUAGUUAUGCAAAACAAAGUCACCCUAUGCUGGGUCCCAGGACAAGUGGGAGUAGAAGGCAACGAGGCAGUGGGUGCCCAGCCAAAAAGGGCUGCUAUAUCCCUUAAAAGGAUCCGAUCCCUUCUUUGGCAUAGGAAUCCACAAUAUCAAUGAGCACCUCAGACAUUAUGAUAAAAGGAAAAUGAUGGAUAAUCCAAGAACUAACAAACUUUGGAAGGAAAGAGGUAACAGAAUGCAUUAAAGGAAGCAGAAAAGAACUGCGAAUCCUAACAGAAAAUAACAGAAAACUAAAUCGACAACAAAAGAACACUGGCAAAACCCAACACGGCACGUGCAGAUUCUGCAAAGAAGCAGAGGAAACACCAACACACCUACUGACAAACCGUGGUGCAACACUUGCCUGCAGGAGGAAGUGCUUUGGGAUGUACAUUGUAACCAUAGAAGAGAUUCAACCACUGAAACCAGGCCUACUAAUCAAAUUCCUUAAUGGUAUACAACUCACUGGUGUGCUAUAAGCACACAACGGGUGAUUCAACAGUUCUCAAAGGGUGCAAUAUAAUAAUAACCCCGAAUAAUACAUCUACAUCUAAUUGCUUAAUAAUUUAAUUUUUGCCUAGGAAUAAGUCCUAGGCAUGAUAAUUACAAUAUAACCACAACAAUUUAUGAGCCUAUAUUAAGCAUACAAACGCUGAUUGGGAAUAUGUGGGUAUUCUGUUGCUUUUUAGCAAAUAUUCAAUCAAUGCCUGUAUAGCAUCUAACAUAUGUAAAGAUAAUGAAUGGGUUAUAACUUGGUAAAUUCGGUUUAACCAUAAACAUAUUUGAUGAUUUUAUUUAUACCAUUAUUCUUGUGAUAAUUUUUAGGGUGAAAAUGUGCUGUCAUUGCCAAUAGGCUAAGGAUGUUUACCAAUCAACAGGAUUAUUGGAUAAUUAUUGAGAAAGUUAACCAUGAAACAGCUUAUGAUUAAAUUAUCAUACCUCAACAUAGUACAUCACAAUAUUUUGUUUAUUUCUCAAUCAAAGUAAAGUAAUUUCAGUGAUUACUGUCAUACCGGAGGGCUUAACAUCCAAUUAUUAGGUGUUGCAGAAAAGAGGUCAAACUAUUUUAUAAGACAUUUUCAUACGUUCAAUUAAAAAAUCAUGGGCUCUGCCCAGAUUUGAACCAAGAACCACUAGCAUGGCAAAAACCACUUGGCCACUGCGAUCCCCCUUUAUUUGUCAAUAAAAUGCUAAAAUACACUGAUUACUAGAAUAUAAAUAAAAAAUAAUUGCUUGUAAUCAUACAGGAAAAAGUAUAUGACCUUGGUAUGUAUAUCAGCCUACUUAAUAUUUUGAUUAAAUACAAUGCAGAUUUGGGACUGCCAUAAACAGCUUGGCUGUGAAACAAAGAUGUUUUCUAUCAGUAUGAUAAUUUGAUAGUUUGUACAAAUAUUUAUUCCAAACUAGACUAAAAUAAAGUACGAUUAGCAAUUGCACGUAGAAGAAGAUACUUUACAAACAGUUACCUUUUUGGGACAACAAUUUGUACUAAUCUGAGUACUAAAUUCCAUGAUACUGAUCAUUGUAAUAAUUGGAUUGUUGUCUUAAAUUUAAAAGGCCAAAGUCAUUGGUAUAGCAUAAUUGGACUAAUAUUUCCGUGUGCUUAAAAUAAAUGCCAGUCAAUAUUUGAAAUGUUAUUGAAAAACUAAUUGAAUAAAUGCCAAGAUUUGAGAACUGUAUGGAUCAAACUAGCUAAGCAUAAAAUAGCUAUUUGUAAUUGAUAAAUGUACCUCCCAAUCAACACGAUAAUUAUGUGGCUCGGAAAUUUUUAUUUUUCAAUAUAACUGCACAAAUUAAUUAGAGCGAAUCUGUGGGUAAAAUGCUGUUUUUUUGGGCUUAUAUGUCGUCAAAUCAGCAUGAUUGUUUUCAAUGCGUCCUAACAUCAUGCAAAGAACCAAAUUAUAGAGAUGCUGCAAAUAUAAAUCAAUUUGCCUAAAAACAAAGUCAAUUGCUUAAACCUGAUACAAUAAAUUGUAGUAAAGAUUAGAGAAUUCCCUAGCCAAAUAGCAUGUUUGCUGAGACAACAAUUUAAGGUUUAUGGUUUAAAAUAAGUUACGUGCCAGGCAGAGAUGCUUUCCAAUCAAUGAGAUAAACUGAUUUUUUUUAUAUGUAUUCACAGACUAUAAAAGUCAACUAUUAGGUAUCGUGGACACGGGGUCAAAUCACUUUCCAACCGUUAACCAACAUUUUCAUCUUUAAAAAUCAUGGGUUCUGAUAUGGAGGUAGGUGAUAUGGAUAUACAUGGAGGUACUGGUAGUAGAAAAAGAGUCAAACUAAGAAAACUCACGUUUGUUCAAUGUUUAAAUGCUACGAAAGCACUGGGUAAAUGUACAAGAACUACUUCAAGGAAGGAUGGCAGAUUUUAACAUAUCUGAACAUAAUGAAAAGAUCAUGACAUGGAGAUGUGGAAAUAUAUGCUGUUGACUUAAAAUAAGGUUCAUAACUUACACUAAUGAUUCGAUAUAAUUAAACAAAAAUACCCUCCAAUGGAAUACACAUUCAAAUAUGGUCCAAUCUGUUAGAUUUUAAAAUUAAACAAUUUCAUAUAAAAAACGUGUUACAGUUUUUCGGUAAAUUCUAUGAAUUCGAAAGGAGAACAAGAUGAACUUUGCCCUCCUUGGUACAAAACUAACGUCAAUAUGUACUGUACUAAUGACAUGAUAUAAUUAAACAAAAAUACUCUCCAAUGGAAUACACACUCAUAUAUGGCCGAUCGGUUAGAUUUUAAAAAUGAGAAAUUUUGUAUAAAAAAACAUGUUACAGUUUUUUGGUAAUUCUACGAAAUGCCAAAUAUGACCGAUCGGUUAGAUUUUAAAACUGAGAAAUUUUGUAUAAAAAAACUUGUUACAGUGUUUUUUGGUAAAUUCAAUGAAAUGCCUAUCCAGUUGGAAAGGAGAACAAGAUGAACUAUGCCCUCCUUGGUACAAAACUAACGUCAAUAUGUACUGUACUAAUCAUUUGAUAUAAUUAAACAAAAAUACUCUCCAAAGGAAUAUACACUCAAAUAUGGCCAAUCUGUGAAUUUUAAAAUUGAGAAAUUUUGUAUAAAAAAAGAUGUUAUAGUUUUUUUGGUAAAUUAUAUGAAAUGUCUGUCUGGUUGGAAAGGAGACCAAGAUGAACUAUGCCCUCCUUGGUGCAAAACUAGCAUCAAUAUUUACUGUAAGUUCGUAACUUACACUAGUGAUUUGAUAUAAUUAAACAAAAAAUAAAAAAUGCUCUCCAAUGGAAUACACACUCAAAUAUGGCCAAUCUGUUAAUUUUAAAACUGAGAAAUUUUGUAUAAAAAAAUAUUAGUUUUUUGGUCAAUUCUAUGAAAUAUAUGUCUGGUUGGAAAGGAGAACAAGAUGAACUAUGUCCUCCUUGGUACAAAAACUAACAUCAAUAUGUAAUGUAAGUUCAUAAAUUACACUACUGAUUUGAUAUAAUUAAACAAAAAUACUCUCCAAUGGAGUAUACACUCAAAUAUGGACAAUCUGUUAAUUUUAAAACUGAGAAAUUUUGUAUAAAAAAAGAUGUUAUAGUUUUUUUGGUAAAUUCUAUGAAAUGCCUAUCUGGUUGGAAAGGGUAGCAAGCAAAACUAAUAGCAAUAUGUACUGUACUAAUGAUUUGAUAUAAUUAAACAAAAAUACUCUCCAAUAUACACUCAAAUAUGGACAAUCUGUUAAUUUUAAAACUGAGAAAUUUUGUAUAAAAAAAGAUGUUAUAGUUUUUUUGGUACAUUCUAUGAAAUGCCUAUCUGGUUGGAAAGGGUAACAAGCAAAACUAAUAGCAAUAUGUACUGUACUAAUGAUUUAAUAUAAUUAAACAAAAAUACUCUCCAAUGGAAUACACACUCAAAUAUGGCCAAUCUGUUAGAUUUUAAAACAGAUAUUUUGUAUAAAAAAACAUGUUACAGUGUUUUUUUUUUGUUUUUUUUUUUUGGUAAAUUCUAUGAAAUGCAUAUCUGGUUGAAAAGGAGACCAAGAUGAACUAUGCCCUCCUUGGUACAAAACUAACAUCAAUAUUUACUAGAGUCGACAAAUCUGGAACGAUUGGACAAGAAGAGUCAUCCAAGUCAAAAAACGGAUAGCGCUAGGGUUAAGGAAAGCGUAUCGGCCCGGCGGGAUUCUCUCCCUGAGUGAAAAUGAAUUCCUGAUAAGUUGAAAACAGCGGAGACCCUGAAAGGGAGCCGUAAAGUAAAAAAAAUAUUUCACCGGCACGGGGGUCAGCGCUCGGAUCCGGGACAAAGGCUGGACGGCUUCCACGGUAAGACAGGACUCAAGCCGCUCGAGAACUGGAAAAAUAAAGUCCCGCUUUUCGAUUCCGCGUCAUUCGGAAAAUUUCUAAACCGAGUCUCGAAACCGUAAAAAGCGGAAAAUCGAAAAACAGUGGGUUAACCUUGAGUCGAGAAUGGAAACAAACAUUCCAUCCGAUGGAGGAAAAAACAUGAUAAAAAGGCUAUGCAACGGUCUCAGUAACAGUAAUAACUAAAAUAAAUGCUAAAUAGUGGCCGUCCAAUAUAAAA